Molecule: long non-coding RNA, 1991 nt
Organism: Hemicordylus capensis (graceful crag lizard)
Lineage: Eukaryota; Metazoa; Chordata; Lepidosauria; Squamata; Cordylidae
Exons: 4
Source: RefSeq, a predicted model, not a curated record
CACACACACACACACAGACAAACACAGUAUUUUUAACAUGUGGGGUAUUUUUAUGCAAAUAUGCAGGAGCAGAAACAUUUCAACACACAACUUAAAAUAUUCCCAUCUCACAUUUUUCUUUCCCCAGUCCCCAUGCUGUCUCUAAAGGAGCCGGCACAGGUCACAAUCAUACUUGGCUGCCAAAAUCAUAAAGGCCAGCAAUGAUCUCACCACUCGGGACAGUCUAAAGAGGAUUUGAGGGCCCCCCCAGGGGGUGUGGAGGCCCUGGAUUUCAGCCCCUAAGUCCAGGGGUAAGAGCACCACUGCCGACAUGUCGGAGAUGAACUCAGAGAGAGUGCUUCCUUCAAACCUUGCUAUUUGUCUCGCAGUAAGGAUCCGUGCCUGAGUGCCCCCUUCCACUAUUACAUCUUGCUGAAGGCUUUCUCUGCCUGCUGUGUUGAUUUCCUCUGCUAGAUCCUCUAUUCUGCACUUUCUGGAGCAGGCACCUGCAAAUCUGCUGGGCAAGUGUCAAAAAUCCUCAGCCCUCUGGCAAGCAGAACAUGCUGCACCACACAGAUCUCCUCCCUGGACGUCUCAUCUCCACAGCCAUUUUUGAGAAGGGACUCUAGGUUUCACUCACUGCUGGGAAUGGAUCUGCGUCACAGAGCUGGAUUCUGCUUUAUGUUCCUGAGAGUCACCUUGAGACUAUAACGCACACAAGAAGAGCCUGAAGUUGUAUGAAGAAAUAUACACGUCUUUGGAAGGAAGAAUGUGCACUGACUUUACCUCUUGCAUUUCAUAGCAGUUUGGCCCCACUGAUUACAGUUCCCCCUUCCCAUACCCAUGUGUGUAUAUACAUCAGCCGUCAAAUGGAGAUAAUUUUUCAUACAAAAGACAAAGUGUAUUCUAGUCCAGGAAAGCUUCUGCCAUCACAAUCUUUCAUCUUUAAGAUGUCACAAGACUAUUUGUUGUUUCCAAAGGACUGGAAAGUAGCCAGUGUAACACUGAUUUCCAAAAUGGGAUCCGGGGGAUCUGGGAAAUUACAGGCUGGUUAGCUUAGUGUCCGUUCCAGACAAAUUGAUGGAAAGCAUUUGUAAAGAUAAAAAGGUUAAGCAUAUAGAGGAAAGGCCCUCCUGAAGGAGAACCAGAAUGGCUUCUAUAAAAGGAAAUCUUGCCUCACUAAACUUUGGAGUUCUCUGAGAAUGUCAACAAGUGUGUGGAUCAAGGUGAUCCAGUUGACAUAGUCUACCUGGACUUCCAAAAAGCUUUUGACAAAGUUCCUCAUCAAAGACUCCUGAGGAAACUUAGCAGUCAUGGGAUAAGGGGACAAGUACAUGUGUGGAUUGCUAACUGGUUGAAAGACAGGAAACAGAGAGUAGGUAUAAAUGGAGAGUUUUCACAAUGGAGGGAAGUGAGAAGUGGGGUCUUCCAGGGAUCUGUACUGGGACCGGUGCUUUUUAAUUUAUUCAUAAAUGAUCUAGAAGCAGGGGUAAGCAGCGAGGUGGCCAAAUUUGCAGAUGAUACCAAACUCUUUCGGGUAGUGAAAUCCAAAACAGAUUGUGAGGAGCUCCAAAAGGAUCUCUCCAAACAGGAGGAGUGGGCGACAAAAUGGCAAAUGCAGUUCAGUCUUGGCAAGUGUAAAGUGAUGUAUAUUGGGGCAAAACCGCCUAACUGCAUAUAUGCUUAUGAGCUAUCUAGUGCCUGAGCUAUAAGUGCCUGGAGAGGGAUCUUGGGGUUGUGGUGGACAGCUUAUUGAAAGCAUCAACUCAAUGUGCAGCAGCUGUGAAAAAGGUCAGUUCCAUGCUAGGGAUCAUUAGGAAGGGGACUGAAAAUAAAAUGGCUAAUAUUAUAAUGCCCUUAUAUAAAAAUAUGGUGUGGCCACAUUCAGAGUAUUGUGUACAGUUCUGGUCACCAUACCGCAAAAAGGACAUUCUUGUAGAAUUGGAGAAGGUGCAGAAGAGGACAACCAAGAUUAUCAGGGGCCUAGAGCACCUUCCUUACGAGGUAAGGCU